GCCGUGGUGGCUCAGCCCGGUGGAGCGCCCGGCUGUUAACCGGGUGGUCGCAGGUUCAAAUCCUGCCCACGGCG
This 74-nucleotide transfer RNA is filed under the name Methanobacteriota archaeon. RNAcentral describes it as "Euryarchaeota archaeon tRNA-Asn". It matches the Rfam family "tRNA". Rfam says of the family: Transfer RNA (tRNA) molecules are approximately 80 nucleotides in length. Lineage: Archaea; Methanobacteriati; Methanobacteriota. RNAcentral also lists the same sequence under 1 other name. The record is from RNAcentral.